GGGUAGUUAGCUUAGUGGAUAAAGCCUUAGAUUCCGAUUCUAAAGAUCAAGGGUUCGAUUCCCUUACUACUCA
RNAcentral lists this transfer RNA (73 nucleotides) under Candidatus Puniceispirillum sp. TMED52. Its description in RNAcentral is "tRNA-Arg". It matches the Rfam family "tRNA". From Rfam's summary of the family: Transfer RNA (tRNA) molecules are approximately 80 nucleotides in length. Lineage: Bacteria; Pseudomonadati; Pseudomonadota; Alphaproteobacteria; Puniceispirillales (SeqCode); Puniceispirillaceae (SeqCode). The record is from RNAcentral.